This 301-nucleotide ribosomal RNA is filed under the name uncultured bacterium. RNAcentral's name for it is "partial 16S ribosomal RNA". It matches the Rfam family "Bacterial small subunit ribosomal RNA", at positions 509 to 807 of the family's 1533-position model. The record is from RNAcentral.
CAGCCGCCACGGUAAAACGAAGGGGGCUAGCGUUGUUCGGAAUUACUGGGCGUAAAGCGCACGUAGGCGGACAUUUAAGUCAGGGGUGAAAUCCCGGGGCUCAACCCCGGAACUGCCUUUGAUACUGGGUGUCUAGAGUAUGGAAGAGGUGAGUGGAAUUCCGAGUGUAGAGGUGAAAUUCGUAGAUAUUCGGAGGAACACCAGUGGCGAAGGCGGCUUACUGGUCCAUUACUGACGCUGAGGUGCGAAAGCGUGGGGAGCAAACAGGAUUAGAUACCCCUGUAGUCCCUGUCUCUUAUAC